This is a non-coding RNA of Triticum urartu, 115 nucleotides long. Lineage: Eukaryota; Viridiplantae; Streptophyta; Magnoliopsida; Poales; Poaceae. The record is from Rfam.
CAUGUACUUCCUCCAUUUCAAAUUACUUGUCGCAGGUAUAAAUGUAUCUAAAUGUAUUUUAAUUCUAGAUACAUCCAUUUUCGUGACGAGUAAUUUGAAACGUAGGGAGUACUUG